Molecule: ribosomal RNA, 253 nt
Filed under: uncultured bacterium
Lineage: Bacteria
Description: partial 16S ribosomal RNA
Rfam family: Bacterial small subunit ribosomal RNA
Source: RNAcentral
UACGAAGGGGGCUAGCGUUGCUCGGAAUUACUGGGCGUAAAGCGCACGUAGGCGGAUUCGUAAGUCAGGGGUGAAAUCCCAGGGCUCAACCUCGGAACUGCCUUUGAUACUGCGGGUCUUGAGUCCGAUAGAGGUGGGUGGAAUUCCUAGUGUAGAGGUGAAAUUCGUAGAUAUUAGGAAGAACACCGGUGGCGAAGGCGGCCCACUGGAUCGGUACUGACGCUGAGGUGCGAAAGCGUGGGGAGCAAACAGG